RNAcentral lists this long non-coding RNA (359 nucleotides) under Olea europaea subsp. europaea. The record is from RNAcentral. Lineage: Eukaryota; Viridiplantae; Streptophyta; Magnoliopsida; Lamiales; Oleaceae.
GAACAAAUUCCAAGCUGGAAAAUAUAGCAUUUGGAUCGCUCAAGGUUACCAAUAAAAGGUCAAUUAUUUGAGAUGUCAUCAAAACGCACAGACAUUUCUUUUCUUCUUAACUGCUAAUCAGCGCUGGUUCUUAUACAUCUUUCCAAAAAAGUAAACGAAAUCAAAGGAAUACCGAUUUUAACUACACCUACUCAAUUUGUCAGGAAUAUUUCAUCGAUUUUCGUUGCUUUAAUGCUGUUUGACAUUUUUGAAGAGAGAAACGAAUCAAAUUGGAUCAAAGAAGGCUAUACAUAAGAUCGAGGGUUUUUUCUCGUGAGGGUUUUGCUCACAUUUACCAGACAUAGGUUUGAGUUUUGCGA